UACGUAGGUGGCAAGCGUUGUCCGGAUUUAUUGGGUUUAAAGGGUGCGUAGGUGGCCCUGUAAGUCAGUGGUGAAAUAUCUCAGCUUAACUGAGAGGGUGCCAUUGAUACUGCAGGGCUUGAGUACAGAUGAGGUAGGCGGAAUUGACGGUGUAGCGGUGAAAUGCAUAGAUAUCGUCAAGAACACCGAUAGCGAAGGCAGCUUACCAAGCUGUAGCUGACACUGAGGCACGAAAGUGUGGGGAGUAAACAGG
This 253-nucleotide ribosomal RNA is filed under the name uncultured bacterium. RNAcentral's name for it is "partial 16S ribosomal RNA". It matches the Rfam family "Bacterial small subunit ribosomal RNA", at positions 524 to 776 of the family's 1533-position model. The record is from RNAcentral.